AUUACUGUUGUUUUUUCAGUCGCUAGAGAAACUUUGAAUAUGCUGUCUUCUUUCUCUCUAUGGUGAAGUCCCUCCCACCGAGCUUUGUGACAUGAAGGGAUGUGUCUGUAGAUACAGUUCCUUUGCCAGCUUCAGCUUGACUGCCAUUAUUUCUUUGUUUUAUUUAAUAAUAAUCUUUUUAUUAUUUAAACCCUCCCCACCUGGCUAGGUUGCCCCAGCCACUCUAGGCAGCUUCCAAUACAGUCAUACCUUGGUUGUCAAACGCUUUGGUACUCGGACGGUUUGGCUCCCGAACACCACAAACCUGGAAGUGAGUGUUCCGGUUUGCAAAUGUUUUUUGGAAGCUAAACAUCCGACGCGGCUUCCAGUUGACUGCAGGAAGCUCCUUGGUUUUUGAAUGGUUUUGGGAGUCAAACAGACUCCAGGAACAGAUUAAAUUCGACAACUAAGGUACCACUGUACAUAUAAAAACACAUAUAGUGAAAUGGGUGUACAAAAACUUUACAGGUAUUGUUUAUUACAAGGAACUAGAGCACAGUUAACAUUUGAUUUUAAUUUUGAAGUAAAACCCGCACUACCAGCUACUCUGCAGUGUAAACACACCACUGAUUAGACCAUAAGGUGUGCAUCGCCCUGAAAAAGGGUAAAUGAAAAACACAAAAAAAUGGCCUACGGUAUGAAGACAUGACACAAAAGGAAAAAGUGAUGGGGUGGGAGGAAGAAACCACAAAUUCAAGCACCAAUUCUCAGAGGUUGCGGUUUAUUAUCAGGAACAAUUUUGGGUCCCACCUGGUAGUUAAUUGUCAUGGUGAUGCUACAAAGUGCAGUUAGUGUUUCAGUCCUAUGUAUCUUUGGAGCAAAUUCCAUUGGGAUUUGCUUUUGAGUAGACAUGGGAAGUUCAUGCCUGCAGGGUGCUCUCUCGGACAUAAAAAAAUCUCUUUUCCGGCAUCUUACCACUUGCCCCUCCCACCCCGUGUGUGGGAAGCUGCUUUUGCAGUGCAGAUGUGCACAUUUGCUUGUGUCAAGAUGGGUGGAAUGUAGUUUUAUUCUUUGAAAACAGGAAGAGCCUGACUGGGAGAUGGUAGCGUUCUUCAUUCUCAUUUUCAUUCCAGAUAAGCGUGGAUGGUGAUUUAUUUUUUGUGCAAACUACCGCAUAGAUUCAGAUUGCCUACACUGGGGAACGGAGGUUCCUUGAUCAAGAUUGCCAGCCUGAAAAUGAAAAAAGAAGAAUAAGUUUUUAUUAAUUUACGUAUUACGUUUUUUGUUAUACUGCUCUGUGGCCCAAAGCCCUCUGUGAGUGGUUUACAGUUAAGUGCAGGGUUUUUUUUUAAAGAAGAAGAGAAAAAGCACCAGAAUAUAUGAAAUUGCAAUAUAUAACAGUAUACUGUAUAGAUAAAUGUUGUUAAUAAUGUAAUUUAAAUACAUGCACUCUGGAAUGAA
Molecule: non-coding RNA, 1440 nt
Organism: Zootoca vivipara (common lizard)
Lineage: Eukaryota; Metazoa; Chordata; Lepidosauria; Squamata; Lacertidae
Source: RefSeq, a predicted model, not a curated record